Long non-coding RNA from Pipra filicauda (Wire-tailed manakin), 2065 nucleotides. RefSeq lists it as uncharacterized. The transcript has 3 exons. Lineage: Eukaryota; Metazoa; Chordata; Aves; Passeriformes; Pipridae. The record is from RefSeq and is a predicted model, not a curated record.
CAAGAUUUAUAGCCCUUAACUAUUCUGUUGUUUUCUGUCUCCCCAGAGUCCAACUGAAGACAGAUGCAGCAAUUCCAAGUGCCACUGGUGGGACAUUUGCUUGAGCAGAGAAAGGGUGUCCUUUUUCUUCUCUUGCACUAAAGAGUUGAAAUUUGUCCUGGUAAAUUUAUCUGUAAAAUCUAUUUUACGGUUCAAGAUUCUACUGUUGUGAAGACAUCACAUUUUAUUUAACAAGAGGUAUUCAGACUCUCUAGUCCUAAGCCAUCCAAGCCAAAGAACCAUUCUUCUCUCUCCUCGAGUUGAACUCACAGCUGCAGGAAGAUUUACUGAAAAAAUUCAGGAAAGAUCAAGAGAGCAUGAUCACCUGCAGUACAUGGCUUUAUCAAGAAAGUUCUGCUUUACUCCUGCUAAAAAAAACCAGCUGCUUACUAUAGCUUGGGAGGAGCCUUUAAAUUCUUGUUCGCUAAAACAAGCCUGGUUCAUGGCCCAUCACCACUGACUCUAGGCUCCUUCUGUAAUAUUUGCCCUAGUGAUAUUUUGCAUCCUGAUUGAAAAGGAGCACGGUAAUGUGCAAACUUGUCUCACAGUACAAAGCUGUAUUGCCUACUCUGAGAGCAGGCUAGAAAAAUCCUUGUAUCUCUAGAAAUAUGGAAGUGUAUGGAGAUCUCCAUUAAAAAGAAAGAAGUGCAAAAGCUAGAAAGUUGAGGGUAAGCCUCACAAGCAAAAUCCCCCAAACACUGUGAGCAGACAAGUUAGAAUAAAGCUGAGAUGGAAAUUUAUACAUUUUUAGAGAGGUGAAUAAAGACAGAUUCAGGGAAGAAGUGUAUCUUGCAAACACACAUACACUCAGAGAAGUCAAAUGUCCAAUGUUUAAAACUCACAUUGCAUGAAAUACAGCAAACCCACAGUGCUAACUGAGGCACAGUAUGGUAGAUGCAAAAUCUUUAAGUCAACAGCAUUCCCUUGUGGACAAUAAUCACUGACUGGGAAAUCUCUUUAAAAGCCCUGGUCCCUGCUGGGUGAAGCGCUGGAAUCUUUGCUGUUCUCUCAGGGUGCCACCCUGCUGUGUGCAUGGUGAUGAAGAAUAAAUAUGCAUGAAGUCGACAGUUAGUUUGGCUUCCACCAAAGCUUAAUUUAGCUCACUUCCCAGUGCUGAAUAAGAGAAAUUAAUAAUAAUAAUUAAUAGUUCUUUUAACACAGUGAGUAAGGAGCAGCAUGUGAUAAAAAUGCUAAAUCUAGGGAAACUUCAUUGCUGGGAGACAAGGAUUGUACAAUGCAUUCCACAUUGCCAAGGACGUACAACAUACUUUGGAGGGCACUGAUGGACUAAACAAAAGAAAAUGUCUGGUCAGAGGAAACAAAGGAAUGCACUGUAGAAUCCAGGGAGGAUGUAGUAUGGUCCACACCAGCUAGAAUGCAUCUCCUGAGGAGGCUGAAAUUCCUUCCAUCUUCUUCCCCCUCCUGUUUUUGGUUUUCGACCUUCUCUGUCAAGAAAAGGACAAAAGCUCUAUUAUGUCUGAAGUCUGGCCACAAGCAACAGUACCUAAAAAGUGCUUCAGAGCAUUUAGUUCAUGAGCAUGUGCUAUUUCUGCAGGACCUUGGCAAGCUUUCUCAGUGACUUUUGCCAUCAUCCACAAAUUGCGUAUUCCUUCAGUAUAACUUCACAAAGGUUCCUCCUUUUUUUCUUGGCUUGCACCACUGUACUCACUUCCUUAGAAGCCAGAAGAUGCAGAGCUGACAUUGUACAAGGAAUUCUGAAUAAAUUCUGAUAUCCAUUUUGAGGAGAAAACAUGGGGUGUUCAUUACUGAUUUUGUUACUUUAUUGUGGUUAUUUCUGUGUAUAGUUGUAAAUGGGGUUUUUUGUGGGUAGUGCUGCACAAAGUCUGAGAAAGGUAGCAUACUUCCCUACGAAAUUUCAAAAUGUUUUUAAAAGUACAGCAAGUAGAAAGCAGAGAAGUACAUUCUAUUUUUAUAAUGUGUAUAGUGUCGGGGAAGGUUUAGGUUGGAUAUCAGGAAAAAGUUUUCAUCCAGGCUGUGGUUGGGCACUGGAAGAGGCUCCCCAAGG